AUAUGGUGAAAUUCUAGAUUGUCCACGUCGAUUAAAAAAAUUAGCCAAUUAGAACAUUUCAUUUGUACAGGUUUGCUUUUGGUUGGGCUUCAUUUGAUUAUUGCCCAUAUUAAACAAACAGGCAGCGAGUGGGCUUAAAAGUUGAGAUCUGUUUGAUGUAAGCUCUUUUCUCAUUAUCACACAAGUAAACGACGACAAAAGAAACAUCGUCAUCUCCGUACCGCUUCGUCUUCUCCGAUUAGAUUCCAUAGAAACUGAUCCCCCUCUACACAAUCAAUCACAUCCUUUAGUUCGAGCAAUUAAUUUCGUCUUGAUGAUUUCGUUCCAGCUCCCUUUGUUCCUCCUUUAUAUACCGAUCUAUUUUCAAGAACGAAUUGUAAUCGUUGUUUGAAAAAAAAAAUCAUUGGGAAAGCCUUCCUCAAUUUUUGGUUGUGGUGAAGCCUUUUUAGUGAAAGGUUUGCACUGUUUUCCAAUUUAUAUUUUGUGACUUAAAGAAUUAUGGCUUCCAAUCUCCCGGCCCUCGAUUGGAACAUGUUCAUGGCGAUGUACAUGACCAUUUGCAAGCCCUCACGAAUGGUUUCCAGAGGUUGGAGUUACUAUACAACAAUUUCUCGAACAAAAAACAGCUCACUGGAGUAGAAGAAUGCGGAUACUAAAUGCCAGUGUAGCCACAGGUAAUCUCCACUGGAAAAUAGUCAUGUUUACAUCAACAAGAUGAAUCAGGUAAAUGAUUGUUGAUCUGAUCAAAAAGAUAAAAGAGAGCCAAAUUAUUUUUGAACAGUGGGGAAUCUUUAGCUUGAUUCAGUGCACAUGGAUGUGAACUUUGUUAUACCAAAUACAUAAGGAUAUUUCAAAUGGCAGGGUAAAAAGAGAAAUCAGAAACAGAACUAUAGCUGAUAUAAAAACACAUUCGUUAUGACAACAGUGAUGAUAAUGAAGUUAUGGGAUCCACAUUCGUCUUUUACUCGAGCAUCCUCUUUGAGAAACGCCAAAUGAAAGACUGUAAAAGGUAUGUCUUGGCUUUGUCAUCUAGGCAUUUAGUGUUAGUUUAUUUUGUGAUAACGAGAUUUUUUUGUUAGGAUCAUCUAUAUAAUGUACACACAUGUUGGUGACUAAGUUUGCAACAUCUUAGGAACAAUGAAAUAGCCGGUGAGGAGAUUCGUUUAUGAAAAUUUGAUUCUCACUUAAUGUAUGUUCCCCAUGAUUAUAGAUAAAUAAGCGACAUUAAUGAGCUCUCAAGUAUCUUAUAGAUUUCCAGUGGAAAAAGGUUGAAGAACCAAAAGAGUUCACACUUGAGCUGUUCUUUGAGGCUUAUUGCACUGAAGAACAAUGAGAUUGCCGGUCUGGAGGUUCGUUAUUAGGAUAUGUUCUUAAAGAAAAUGUUACUCUCUUUCUAGAUGGAUUUCCAAUGAUUAUACUAAAUAUAAGCAAGAUGAAUGAACUCGCAAGUAUCUCAAAGAUAUCAAAUUGAAUAGGUUUAAAGAACCAAAAAGAUUCACGCUUGAUCUUUUCUUUGAUUAGAACCCUUACUACCAUAACACUGUCUUCACCAAGACAUCUCACAUGAUUGAUAAAGAUAAUCUUAUCCUCGAGAUGGCCAUUGGGUAUGAUCUUUUCCUCUUACGAUGUAUUUAUUGUUUUUAUUUCUUGAGGCCAAGUGUUAUUGAUCCAUACCUUUUGUAUCUUAUAUGAUAUAUGUAAAAAAUCGAUUGUCUACUUAUAAAACAGGUCCAGGAGUAACAAGAGAAGCUGGAGUAUGAUGAAAGGAAGCCAAAAGGAGAGGAGAGAUUCAUCACGAGUGUGUUGUAUAUAUACCCUAUGUAUCUCAGUUUUUUCGCCAGACCAAUAGUGACUGAAUUUAUUGUCAUUCGUGAUAAUGACCAACAGAUAAAAGAAAAUAAUGACCUCUCCAACAACAGGUUCUCAUAAAUUUGUUUGGAGGACAAUAGCAUUCCGUUGGUUUGGCCAAUUUCAACUAAACUUUUUCUCUAUAAUAAAAUCAUUCAGUUUGGAAUGAAAACCUUUUAGUUA
This is a long non-coding RNA of Brassica rapa (field mustard), 2031 nucleotides long. RefSeq lists it as uncharacterized. The record is from RefSeq and is a predicted model, not a curated record. Lineage: Eukaryota; Viridiplantae; Streptophyta; Magnoliopsida; Brassicales; Brassicaceae.